GGUUACCUACGGGGCGCAGCAGUAGGGAAUCUUCCACAAUGGACGAAAGUCUGAUGGAGCGACGCCGCGUGAGUGAAGAAGGGUUUCGGCUCGUAAAACUCUGUUGGUAGUGAAGAAAGAUAGAGGUAGUAACUGGCCUUUAUUUGACGGUAAUUACUUAGAAAGUCACGGCUAACUACGUGCCAGCAGCCGCGGUAAUACGUAGGUGGCAAGCGUUGUCCGGAUUUAUUGGGCGUAAA
Molecule: ribosomal RNA, 239 nt
Filed under: uncultured bacterium
Lineage: Bacteria
Description: partial 16S ribosomal RNA
Rfam family: Bacterial small subunit ribosomal RNA
Source: RNAcentral